This is a long non-coding RNA of Humulus lupulus (European hop), 281 nucleotides long. RefSeq lists it as uncharacterized. The transcript is spliced from 3 exons. Lineage: Eukaryota; Viridiplantae; Streptophyta; Magnoliopsida; Rosales; Cannabaceae. The record is from RefSeq and is a predicted model, not a curated record.
GUGGACUUCAACCAUGCUUGUCUUAGAGAUGUAUUCUUCUCACGUGCAAACCUACAGUGUGCCAAGUUCCGGAAUGUGGAUGCUGAGGGUGCGAUCUUUCAUAAUGCAAUUUUGCAAGAAUGUGAAUUUACAGGGGCCAAUCUUCGCGGAGCUUUAUUAGCUGGUGCUAAUCUUAAGAGUGCAAACCUACAAGGCAAACUCUCUACACUCUGAUAAUCAUUAAGUAACUGUCAUUAGACACAUCAUCUUGAUCUUAAACAAAGUUUCGUUUCUUAUCAAAA